AUGAACGCUGGCGGCGUGCCUAACACAUGCAAGUCGAACGGAGUCGUUUUGGAAAUCUCUUCGGAGAUGGAAUUCUCGACUUAGUGGCGGACGGGUGAGUAACGCGUGAGCAAUCUGCCUUUAAGAGGGGGAUAACAGUCGGAAACGGCUGCUAAUACCGCAUAAAGCAUUAAAUUCGCAUGUUUUUGAUGCCAAAGGAGCAAUCCGCUUUUAGAUGAGCUCGCGUCUGAUUAGCUAGUUGGCGGGGUAACGGCCCACCAAGGCGACGAUCAGUAGCCGGACUGAGCGGUUGAACGGCCACAUUGGGACUGAGACACGGCCCAGACUCCUACGGGAGGCGGCAGUGGGGAAUAUUGCGCAAUGGGGGAAACCCUGACGCAGCAACGCCGCGUGAUUGAAGAAGGCCUUCGGGUUGUAAAGAUCUUUAAUCAGGGACGAAACAAAUGACGGUACCUGAAGAAUAAGCUCCGGCUAACUACGUG
Molecule: ribosomal RNA, 482 nt
Filed under: uncultured bacterium
Lineage: Bacteria
Description: partial 16S ribosomal RNA
Rfam family: Bacterial small subunit ribosomal RNA
Source: RNAcentral